Molecule: ribosomal RNA, 638 nt
Filed under: bacterium
Lineage: Bacteria
Description: bacterial SSU rRNA
Rfam family: Bacterial small subunit ribosomal RNA
Source: RNAcentral
UGCCUCCCCAGUGCUUGCACUCGAUUGGCAAGAGGAGUGUCAGUACCGCUGAGUAGCAUCUGCCUUUCCUACCCAUCCGAGGGUGUGAUAACACUUGGCUAACUGGUGCUAAUACCGCAUAACAGUUUAUGCCGCAUGGCAUAAUACUGUUGCGUGCUUUCGGGAGUCUCUGAUGGAUGGACCCGUAGUGCAUGAGCUAGUUGGUGAGGUAACGGAUCACCCAUGCCACAACGCAUAGGCGACCUGAGAGGGUGAUCAGUGACACUGGGACUGAGAUACUACCCAAACUCCUACUAGAGGCUCCACUACGGAGUCUUCGGCUAUGAACGAAAGUCUGACCGAGCGUCACCACGGGAGUGAGAACGGAUUUCUCAGCUGAUAACUCUGAUGUUAGAUAAGAACGAGGACGUUAGCAACUGACCGUCCCCUGACGGAAUCUAACCAGAAAGUCACGGCUAACUACCUGCCAACAACCGCGGUAAUACGUAUGUGGCAAAUGUUGUGCGGAUUUAUUGAGCGUAAAGGGAGCAUAAGCUGUUUCUUAAGUCUGAUGGGAUAGCCCCCGGCUCAACCGGGGAGGUGCAUUGGAAACUGGGAGACUAGAAUGCAGAAGAUGAGAUGGUAAUUCCGUGGGUAAA